ACGUUAGCGGCGGACGGGUGAGUAACACGUGGGUAACCUACCUAUAAGACUGGGAUAACUUCGGGAAACCGGAGCUAAUACCGGAUAAUAUUUCGAACCGCAUGGUUCGAUAGUGAAAGAUGGUUUUGCUAUCACUUAUAGAUGGACCCGCGUCGUAUUAGCUAGUUGGUAAGGUAACGGCUUACCAAGGCGACGAUACGUAGCCGACCUGAGAGGGUGAUCGGCCACACUGGAACUGAGACACGGUCCAG
RNAcentral lists this ribosomal RNA (251 nucleotides) under uncultured Staphylococcus sp. RNAcentral's name for it is "partial 16S ribosomal RNA". It matches the Rfam family "Bacterial small subunit ribosomal RNA", at positions 89 to 334 of the family's 1533-position model. The record is from RNAcentral. Lineage: Bacteria; Bacillati; Bacillota; Bacilli; Caryophanales; Staphylococcaceae.